AACGCACCUUGCACCUCUUGGUAUUCCGAGAGGUACACCUGUUUGAGUAUCAUUAAUUCUAUCUACUCUUUGGGUAUUCUUAAUAUUUAAAGAGUAGGACUUUGGGGGGGAAAUAUUGCAGGCUUAAUUGUUAUAUGUCUGCUCCCCUUGAAUGCAUCAGUGGGAAGUACUUGUUCUUGUGUGGCCUUUGGGUGAUAAAUUAUGGUCUACCUUUGGCUUAGCAACUUUUAACUAAAGCUUCUUGCUUCUAGCUGUCUCUUACUGAGAACAAACCUUGACAGUUUUUAAACCAUGAUCUCAAAUCAGGUGGGACUACCCGCUGAACUUAA
RNAcentral lists this unclassified non-coding RNA (329 nucleotides) under uncultured fungus. RNAcentral describes it as "sequence contains ITS2". Lineage: Eukaryota; Fungi. The record is from RNAcentral.